GCCGACCCCUGUCCUAUGCUAUGACUGGUUGCGGACUUGAAGGGAACGCCUUCCUGACAUCCAGGAAAAAGAGGCAGUAGAGAUCUACUGGAAACAGUGGAGAGGGAGGAGAUGAUAUGCAGCAAAAGGCCCAGCCGGAUGGUUACUGCUCCGUGCGGAACGUGUUCUAUCAGGUGUAACAUCUACCAAUGGUUGUACAUGAGAGAGACCUCCUCCACAUCUUUGCUGUCUUGCUAGUCAAUCCUUCUGAUCAGGUCAUUUCCUAAAUAGUGGUAAGUUUUACAGUUCAGUGUACGUUAAUUUAGCAACUUAAUGCUUUACCGCUGUUGAAUAAACCCUAUAUUGCUAGUCAUUUUAUUAAAACUACGAUUUGUAAACUUUUUGAUUCCAAUUA
Molecule: long non-coding RNA, 394 nt
Organism: Notothenia coriiceps (black rockcod)
Lineage: Eukaryota; Metazoa; Chordata; Actinopteri; Perciformes; Nototheniidae
Exons: 3
Source: RefSeq, a predicted model, not a curated record